RNAcentral lists this ribosomal RNA (253 nucleotides) under uncultured bacterium. Its description in RNAcentral is "partial 16S ribosomal RNA". It matches the Rfam family "Bacterial small subunit ribosomal RNA", at positions 524 to 776 of the family's 1533-position model. The record is from RNAcentral.
UACGGGGGGAGCAAGCGUUGUUCGGAUUUACUGGGCGUAAAGGGCGCGUAGGCGGCAAAUUAAGUCAGCUGUGAAAUCUCCGAGCUUAACUCGGAACGGUCAGCUGAUACUGAUCUGCUAGAGUGCGGAAGGGGCAAUCGGAAUUCUUGGUGUAGCGGUGAAAUGCGUAGAUAUCGGGAGGAACACCAGUGGCGAAGGCGGCUUUCUGGCCUGCUCUUGACGCUGAGGCGCGAAAGCUAGGGUAGCAAACGGG